GGGCUGUUGGUCUAGCGGUAUGAUUCUCGCUUUGGGUUCAACCAUGUUCUGCGAGAGGUCCCGGGUUCAAUCCCCGGACAGCCCC
Molecule: non-coding RNA, 85 nt
Organism: Parachaetomium inaequale
Lineage: Eukaryota; Fungi; Ascomycota; Sordariomycetes; Sordariales; Chaetomiaceae
Source: the annotation of a GenBank genome assembly